CCCGCCCGGCGCCGCCGUACACCGCCGCCGCGCCUACCCCUGCCUCCUGCACCUGCUACCAUGGCACCGCCGGGACUCCUCCCCACUGCUUCCACCUCGACAAUGGUUUCCCCAACCCCGCCGGCUUCGCCACCAGCCACUCCUUCAUCCACAAUAAUCAUAGGAGACAGCUACACGGGCGAGCCUACGAGCAAGACCUCGACGACGCUGGCGGUGGAACACCACGGAUGUGAGGGCGCUUGGAAGGCCGCGGUGCCGCGAUUAAGUCAUGAGGACCGCGGCGGCAGCAGUCAAAAUCUUCAUGAAGUCUCUCCGCUUACCCUCCCUCGGUCUGAUUUCUCUCCAAUCUUUGAAUCCCCUCAGUUUGAACUAAUGCCAUGUAUUUUCUGAACAGUUAGUGAAUCAUUUGUCAGUUGAAAGAUGGUUGAUGCACCAAAAAAGAUUGUAUUGAUUCAAUCUGGAAAAGUCAAGAUCACAAUAGCAAUUACAUAUGCAUUUGUUGGGCCAAAAGUAGCAGUUACAUAUGCAUUUAGUUAAUCUUUUGGCCUAUCACCGUUUCAUGCAUUUUUUUGUGGACUUUCAUUUGACCUUGAGUGUUGACUUGCUUUUCUGUUGCUAACAAUGUCCGGCUUGCCGAAUGUACUUGCUUAUCCUUGUACUGGAGUACCAUUAUUCACCAUAUACACACUUUCCAAUUCUGUCUGUUUACUAUCUAGGAGUCAGACCAUGGCUGCACGGAGCAGGUCCACCCACUAGGGGCUGGCCGCCGUGUCCGCCAUGAGGAUUCCUGCACUAAGCCUUGCCGGCGUUCCCGGCCACCAAGGUACUUCUACUUAUGUGUCUCUAUAAGAUUCCUGCAUAUGUUUUUGUGCUUUCCACUUAAUGCAUUGUUAGCUCUAUGUUACACUUCUUUUAGGUACUUCCUGCUCCAAAAUCAAUAUACAUAGGCAUAUUUGCUCAUGAAACUGCUCUGGUUUUUCUUUUAGAGUUUACUCCCAUUUACUUGUGUCGUUCUACAAUAAUAACAGAAUUGAUAUCGAUUAAACUUCUUUGAGUAUCUUGAAAUUUAAUGAUUUCCCAUGGAAUAUGAAGUUUGAGAAUGACACCUGCUGAGCUGAAAAUAAUCUAGCGAGCAAUAGUAUAAUGAAUAGUUAUUACCGUAUCGGCAUCACAUUGCUCAUGGGUGAAUAACACAACAAUAAACUAGAAAAAUGGAAAUGCUCUGUUUGGUUUGGGUACCAUUCAGGAAAGUAGUUAACAGAGAUAGACUAUUUGACAGUUGCAGAGUGACACCACCACCACAUAUGAAGCAGAGAGUUUGUAAAGAGACACUAAAUAAUCAUCUGGAGUGAGACACAAUUGCUUUCUUGUUUAGUGAAGACGAUCUUUUUUGGGGUGUAAUAUAACUAUGGUAGCUCUCUGGAGUGAGAAUGCCGAGGCCCUAAAAAACAGCCAUCGACACGGAGUUCCUGCCAUUAAGGAUAAAAAAGCUAGCAGAGAAACAGCUUGGGGAAUCACAAGCUUAUCUUGCCUUUUGAAUGUGCAGCCUGUAACCAGAGAAGCUUGUUCUAAUUAUCGUAUGCUUAUUUUCCCCGAGCUGUUUCUCUGCUAGCUAUUAUUCUCAAGCAACUACCAAACUAUGGAUAGAAGAAGUCUUAACAUGGAGCUAUUUCAAAACAAGAUGAGGAGAGACUCAAGAAUUUAAACAGUAAAAUACGAACCUGCACAUGAUCAUAUAAUGUGCGGAUCACAGGCUGGCCAAAGCCUUCUUUCGAGUCUCCUAACAUUGCCUGCUUAAUUUUCACUACCUGCAAGUACAACUAGCUAGAAAUUUCGGUAUGCUGCUAUGUGCCUUGAGUUUGUAAGUCAAGAUCUCUUUGCUUCCAGGAGAGUUUGACCACUCAUAUCUCUCUUUUUCUUGCCACCUGCACUUAGUAAUUUUUUUUCCUAUGAUAUAUAUUGUAUCAUUUUGGUUGCUGAAUAUGAUAGUCGUAGCCCGUCAAAAUAUUAUGAUAGCCGAUUGAUUCUUCUUAAAAGGUAUAUUGACUGUUGCAAAGUUUACCUGGUCUUCUAUUUAUAUUUUCCAGAAUACAGUCCUAGAGAUGUUGCUUUAUUUGAGUUCUGCUUAUUGCAUUUAUUGGAGCACUUGCAAUGGGCACAUUGAAUGUUUAAAUGUUCCUCUUGCUGCUGACCACACUACAGUUCAUUAUAUCUCAUUGAGACCUUAAUCAUCUUCCAUGUUUAUUAGAAGGUAGCAUAGUACUGGUUGAACCCGAUAGUUACCUGAAACCAUUGCUUAACACCGAGCCCCUCUACUUUCUAAAAGGUUUCCAUUUUGGUUUACUGAAUAUUUUUUCCUGCUUGAACUAUAUCAGUUGGGCAAGUGCUAGAACCCAGGAGCAUAUGAUUUUGCUGCUCAUGACAUACGCGUCAAUAUUGCAAUCAACUCUGACUGCAAUUGUAUAGACAAGGGCCUGCAUUCUAUAUGGAAGGUUCGACAUUGAAGCUGCUCGCAUUGAUCUGCAAUAGAUCUUGACUUCAGCGGAAAACGAGGUUUCAUGGAGGCAGUGCCUUAUUCUACAUGAUGGGAAUUCAACGGCAUUUUAUUGUUUUGUUCUUAAAUACUAGCUGGGUGUGCCGUCUAUUCACAGAUGAAGUAAUCUGAACAUCUCUUGCAGACAAAACGCUCGGGGAAAGUUCCCAGCCGUGCACCUGUGACCGCUGAAGAGGCAUACUGUUUUAGGAAUGCAUGACAGACUGGUCGCGAGAUUUGUGUCUAGGAUGGAAUUACAUGAUAUGUCAAAAUGGUGGUCUUUAUUAUGCAAUUUAACUGAUCUCUUGUUGCACCUCUCCUUUCCAGAAAAACAAUUAUUUAAUUUUUCAAAUUUGAUCUUC
Molecule: long non-coding RNA, 2895 nt
Organism: Triticum dicoccoides
Lineage: Eukaryota; Viridiplantae; Streptophyta; Magnoliopsida; Poales; Poaceae
Exons: 2
Source: RefSeq, a predicted model, not a curated record